RNAcentral lists this ribosomal RNA (484 nucleotides) under uncultured bacterium. Its description in RNAcentral is "partial 16S ribosomal RNA". It matches the Rfam family "Bacterial small subunit ribosomal RNA", at positions 30 to 507 of the family's 1533-position model. The record is from RNAcentral.
AUUGAACGCUGGCGGCAGGCCUAACACAUGCAAGUCGAGCGGAUGAAGCGAGCUUGCUCCUGGAUUCGUCGGCGGACGGGUGAGUAAUGCCUAGGGAUCUGCCUGGUCGUGGGGGAUCACGUCCUAAUACCGGCGCUAAUACCGCAUACGUACUGUUGGUGCCAGUAGAUCAUCUUCGGACCUCACGCCAUCAGAUGAGCCUAGGUCUGAUUAGCUACUUCGCGGGGUAAAUGCCUUACAAGGCGACGAGCCUAAACUGGUCUGAGAGCAUGAUCAGUCAGACUGUAACUGAGACACGUCCCAGACUCUGACGGGAGGAAGCAGUGGGGAAUAUUGCAGGAUGGGGGAAUGCCUGAUACAGCCAUGCCGCGGGUGGGAUGAAGGUCUUCGGAUUGUAAAGUGCUUUAAGUUGGGAGGAAGUGAAGUAAGUUAAUACCUUGCUGUUUUGACGGUACCAACAGAAUAAGCACCGGCUAACUUCGUG